GACGAACGCUGGCGGCGUGCUUAACACAUGCAAGUCGAGCGGUAAGGCCCUUUCGGGGGUACACGAGCGGCGAACGGGUGAGUAACACGUGGGUGACCUGCCCUCAGCUCUGGGGAUAAGCCCGGGAAACUGGGUCUAAUACCGGAUAUGACUUCAUGACGCAUGUUGUGGAGUGGAAAGCCUUGUGCGGCUGAGGAUGGGCCCGCGGCCUAUCAGCUUGUUGGUGGGGUGANGGCCUACCAAGGCGACGACGGGUAGCCGGCCUGAGAGGGCGACCGGCACACUGGGACUGAGAUACGGGCCCAGACUCCUACGGGAGGCAGCGAGUGGGGAAUCUUGCGCAAUGGGCGAAAGCCUGACGCAGCGACGCCG
RNAcentral lists this ribosomal RNA (372 nucleotides) under uncultured bacterium. RNAcentral describes it as "bacterial SSU rRNA". It matches the Rfam family "Bacterial small subunit ribosomal RNA", at positions 28 to 399 of the family's 1533-position model. The record is from RNAcentral.